Vespa velutina is the source of this 1250-nucleotide long non-coding RNA. RefSeq lists it as uncharacterized. The transcript has 2 exons. The record is from RefSeq and is a predicted model, not a curated record. NCBI's taxonomy places the organism in Eukaryota, Metazoa, Arthropoda, Insecta, Hymenoptera, Vespidae.
UAUAUACCACGAUUCGCUUCGGGAAAGAAUAUAAGAAAGAAAGGAAGAAAGAAAGAAAGAAAGAAAGAAAAAAAAGAGAAAAGAGAGAGAGAGAGAGAGAGAGAGAGAGAGAUGAUUCUCUUCUGAAACCGUAGAGAAGUCUCUCGUAUUUUCGUUGGUCUGCCAAUCAACUGUCUUCUUUUCAUUUUCAGAGUCUUCCUGGUUAGAGAGAGCAAAAGCAAUCCGGGGGCCUACGUUUUGACUUACAAGUAUAGCGACAAGGUCUUUCACGCUCAGAUCCAACCGGUAUUCGACGAGAGACGCAACUGUUGGCUCUAUACUCUCGACAAGGGUGCAACAAAGUUUUACGAUCUUCUCCAGCUGAUCGAAUUCUAUCAACUGAACGCGGGCUCUUUGCCGACUCGUCUUACCCAUUACGUACAAAAUGGCGUCCCGGCGCCAAUUCCUAGGCCCGAGGAUGGCGGUGCUUCACCGUCGCCGCCCGAAGCCAAUCAAAGAUUCAGUGGCAAACCAGAUCCGUCCUCGGGCAUUUGAGUAUAGGAGAACCAGCGACCCGGUGCCGCUAACGUCGAACGUGUUACAAGCAAUAGAAUCGUUACCGUUCGUUCUGAUAACAUCGAUGAGAAUGUUAACAACGACGAGAACGUUCUCGUUAAUAACAACAGCAACAUUAGAAAUAAUAAUAAUAAUAACAACAACAACAACAACAACAACAACAACAACAACAACAACAAUGACAGUAUCGAUGUAAACGUCGUCCUACCAUCACAGGAUUCAAGACGUACAACAACAACGACCAUACAACAUAAUGGCCCUAGCACUACUGCUAUCGUUGCUGUCGUUGAUGUCGUCGAGAAUCAUCAGCUCGAACGACGUCAACGUUAUAAAAUUAACGACGAGGACGUAUACAAAUUGAAUGCUUACUUUCGACGACAACAACAACAAGAACAACAACAAGAACAACAACAACAACAACAACGUUCGACUCCGCGAUCGGGUUGCUGGAAUCUCUGCCUUUGCAGUUACAAGUGGGACUUGUAACUUCUAUUCCCAACGAAAUAAACAUUACAGGAUCUUAAACACCUCGUCCGUGUUUUUAUUUUUAUUUUUUUUUUUUUUUAUUUUUUUUUCGCUGCUCUCAUCCCAGAGACGAUGCGUCCUUUCUUCGACGCCCUCUCUCUCAUUAAAGAAGAUGAAGAUGAUGAAGAUGAUGAAGAUAAAGAAGAUGAUGAAGAAGAUGAAGAAGAAAA